Molecule: ribosomal RNA, 253 nt
Filed under: uncultured bacterium
Lineage: Bacteria
Description: partial 16S ribosomal RNA
Rfam family: Bacterial small subunit ribosomal RNA
Source: RNAcentral
UACGUAGGGCGCAAGCGUUGUCCGGAAUUAUUGGGCGUAAAGAGCUCGUAGGUGGUGUGUCGCGUCUGCCGUGAAAGCCCGGGGCUUAACUCCGGGUCUGCGGUGGAUACGGGCAGACUAGAGGCAGGUAGGGGAGAACGGAAUUCCCGGUGUAGCGGUGAAAUGCGCAGAUAUCGGGAGGAACACCGGUGGCGAAGGCGGCACUCUGGGACGGUACUGACGCUGAGACGCGAAAGCGUGGGGAGCGAACAGG